RNAcentral lists this long non-coding RNA (200 nucleotides) under Gossypium raimondii (Peruvian cotton). RNAcentral's name for it is "long non-coding RNA (GRAI_LNC008366)". The record is from RNAcentral. Lineage: Eukaryota; Viridiplantae; Streptophyta; Magnoliopsida; Malvales; Malvaceae.
UCAGAUUUUGGGCGUUUUGGGUGUUCUUGGUUGAUUUCUAAACUGAUCUCCUUUUAAAAACAUUAAACAACAGUUUUUACCCAGAAAAAUUUUUGGAAAAAAAAUUCAUUUGAGUGGGUAAACAUUGUCCAAUUGGUUUAAAAUUUUAUAUUCAUAUUUUUGGCACUUUGAUAGAUUAUUAAAAAAUAUUUCCCGCAAAA